GUAACACCAAAGGCCUAAAAACACAAAGAAUUAAAGAAUAGUCGUUGGAAUUAUCAUUAUUAAGUAUGUGUUACAAAGUGGAUUGCAAGCAAUGUGGCAAGACCACCUGGGGUGGAUGCGGCAAGCACCUCAAAACUCUGUACCCGACCAUUGCUCAAGGCAAGCAUUGCACCUGCCGCUCUUGGCCCGGAGUCGAUACGGCCUCCUCCGCGGCGUCUUCCACCACCACUACCACGACUACUACUGGUAGCGAGGUCAAGUGAAACUUUGGAUGCUGCUUCGCAGAGAUGCCUUUUUACAUAUAAAUUAAAAAAAUAAAUGAAUAAUGUAAAUUCAAAAGUUCAAUAUUGUGCAUUAGUUUGCACUUUGUACUACUUGCUUUUGGAAUUAAACGCUAGGCUGCUACAUCUUUUUGUGCUA
Molecule: long non-coding RNA, 420 nt
Organism: Daucus carota subsp. sativus
Lineage: Eukaryota; Viridiplantae; Streptophyta; Magnoliopsida; Apiales; Apiaceae
Exons: 2
Source: RefSeq, a predicted model, not a curated record